UUUGUGCUCUGGACUAGACUAGAACUCAUUUUGCAAUUUGGUUAAUGACAUUUGGAGGUUCUACAAGCUACGGGGAUGGUCACACGAGGUGCCAGAGGCAGAAGGAUACCUAGGGAAGUGCCAUGACUGAUCUAACCACCAUACAGUUGAAAAAUGGCAGAGCCAGAACGAGAGCCAAGUUUCCUAUCUGACUGUAAACCUUAAUUGAGGUGUUCAACCCUCCGGGACAUUCCAUCACCAGCAAGUCCCCUCUGAGAUGCUGCUUUCUUGGGCUGGGCCACUACCUCAAAUCAAGAACACCCUGGGCUCCACACCCAGUAUACAGCCCAACAUGGAACCCGAAACUAAGACCCUGAGAGCAAGACCUGAGCUGAGAUCAAAAGCCCAAUGCUUAACCAACUGAGCCACUCUGGCACCCUAUUUUGUUAUAUCUUAACUUCAG
Long non-coding RNA from Canis lupus familiaris (dog), 442 nucleotides. RefSeq lists it as uncharacterized. The transcript is spliced from 3 exons. NCBI's taxonomy places the organism in Eukaryota, Metazoa, Chordata, Mammalia, Carnivora, Canidae. The record is from RefSeq and is a predicted model, not a curated record.